AUUGAACGCUGGCGGCAGGCUUAACACAUGCAAGUCGAGCGGGGGAAGGUAGCUUGCUACCGGACCUAGCGGCGGACGGGUGAGUAAUGCUUAGGAAUCUGCCUAUUAGUGGGGGACAACAUCUCGAAAGGGAUGCUAAUACCGCAUACGUCCUACGGGAGAAAGCAGGGGAUCUUCGGACCUUGCGCUAAUAGAUGAGCCUAAGUCGGAUUAGCUAGGUGGUGGGGUAAAGGCCUACCAAGGCGACGAUCUGUAGCGGGUCUGAGAGGAUGAUCCGCCACACUGGGACUGAGACACGGCCCAGACUCCUACGGGAGGCAGCAGUGGGGAAUAUUGGACAAUGGGGGGAACCCUGAUCCAGUCAUGCCGCGUGUGUGAAGAAGGCCUUAUGGUUGUAAAGCACUUUAAGCGAGGAGGAGGCUACUUUAGUUAAUACCUAGAGAUAGUGGACGUUACUCGCAGAAUAAGCACCGGCUAACUCUGUGCCAGCCGCCGCCGUAA
This 501-nucleotide ribosomal RNA is filed under the name uncultured bacterium. Its description in RNAcentral is "partial 16S ribosomal RNA". It matches the Rfam family "Bacterial small subunit ribosomal RNA", at positions 30 to 523 of the family's 1533-position model. The record is from RNAcentral.